CCUACGGGAGGCAGCAGUGGGGAAUUUUGGACAAUGGGCGAAAGCCUGAUCCAGCCAUUCCGCGUGAGUGAAGAAGGCCUUCGGGUUGUAAAGCUCUUUCGCAAGGGAAGAAAACUUAGAUACUAAUAUUAUCUGAGGUUGACGGUACCUUGAUAAGAAGCACCGGCUAACUACGUGCCAGCAGCCGCGGUAAUACGUAGGGUGCGAGCGUUAAUCGGAAUUACUGGGCGUAAAGCGUGCGCAGGCGGUUUUGUAAGUCAGAUGUGAAAUCCCCGAGCUCAACUUGGGAACUGCGUUUGAAACUACAAGACUAGAAUAUGUCAGAGGGGGGUAGAAUUCCACGUGUAGCAGUGAAAUGCGUAGAGAUGUGGAGGAAUACCAAUGGCGAAGGCAGCCCCCUGGGAUAAUAUUGACGCUCAUGCACGAAAGCGUGGGGAGCAAACAGGAUUAGAUACCCUGGUAGUCCACGCCCUAAACGAUGUCUACUAGUUGUUGGUGGAGUAAAAUCCAUGAGUAACGCAGCUAACGCGUGAAGUAGACCGCCUGGGGAGUACGGUCGCAAGAUUAAAACUCAAAGGAAUUGACGG
This 587-nucleotide ribosomal RNA is filed under the name uncultured bacterium. RNAcentral's name for it is "bacterial SSU rRNA". It matches the Rfam family "Bacterial small subunit ribosomal RNA", at positions 338 to 916 of the family's 1533-position model. The record is from RNAcentral.